UCCCCACAGGGUAUGCAGCUGCUUUCAGCUCCCUGCCCACCCCCUUGGCACCCCCAGGGGCCUGGGCCCUUCCAGGGGCAGCUGCCCCGUGCAGGAAGCUGGAGGGAUGCCGGGGAAGGUGGCUGGAUGGGUGCCGCAGGCGGGAUGGACUCUGUGCCAGGGCUGGGCUUGUGGCCAGGGCUGGGGGCUGUGCCCAGCCGGGCUUUGCCCCGGGGGCUCUCGGGGAGGGGGCAGGGAGGAGUCCCGGCAGGGAUAAAUGUGCUCCUGCCCUUGUGCAGCCUCAGCCAGCGCUGCCCAGGCCCAGAGGAAGAUGAAGGUCGCUGUGCUCAGCGUGGCCCUGCUCUUCACCAUCCUGCUGAGCCCCCCGGCAGAUGCCAAGCCCUUUCAGGCCAGCGGCGAUGCCUGUGGGGGGGGAAUCCUGACCGGCCCAAUCGGGGGAAUAGCAGGAGGUGGAUGUAUUGGGGUAAG
This is a long non-coding RNA of Pipra filicauda (Wire-tailed manakin), 468 nucleotides long. RefSeq lists it as uncharacterized. The transcript has 4 exons. Lineage: Eukaryota; Metazoa; Chordata; Aves; Passeriformes; Pipridae. The record is from RefSeq and is a predicted model, not a curated record.